This 620-nucleotide unclassified non-coding RNA is filed under the name Hevea brasiliensis (rubber tree). The record is from RNAcentral. Lineage: Eukaryota; Viridiplantae; Streptophyta; Magnoliopsida; Malpighiales; Euphorbiaceae.
UUGCCCGUAUUUGCAGCUACUGUGAAACUCAUAAGCAUUUCAAUUAUCUAUACAAGUUUCAGGUAAUCAAGAAGGACUAUGUUGCUGCUGGACUUUGCUGUAUUCAAUUGUUUAUGAAUUCAUUUUCCCAAGAGGAAGCUGUUAAACACUUGGAACAUGCAAAGAUGCACUUUGAUGAAGGACUAUCUGCUCGAUAUAAAGGUGGAGAAUCUACUAAACUUGUCACAAAGGGUGUGAGAGGAAAAAGUGCGUCCGAGAAGCUCACUGAAGAAGGACUUGUCAAGUUUUCUGCUCGAGUAUCAAUCCAGCUGGAAGUUGUGAAAUCCUCAAAUGAUCCAGAUGGGCCACAGUGGAAACAUUCACUUUUUGGAAAUCCAAAUGAUCCAGAAACGUUCAGGAGGAGGUGUGAGAUUGCGGAGAAGCUAGUGGAGAAGAACUUUGAUUUGGCUUUCCAAGUAAUUUAUGAAUUUAAUCUUCCAGCUGUUGAUAUAUAUGCUGGUGUUGCUGCAUCACUAGCUGAGAGGAAAAAAGGCAGCCAGUUGACAGAGUUUUUUAGAAACAUAAAAGGAACCAUAGAUGAUGAUGAUUGGGAUCAGGUCUUGGGGGCUGCAAUAAAUGUG